UAGUUUCUAUUUUCUUUUU
RNAcentral lists this small RNA (19 nucleotides) under Arabidopsis thaliana (thale cress). Its description in RNAcentral is "ATSL067260". Lineage: Eukaryota; Viridiplantae; Streptophyta; Magnoliopsida; Brassicales; Brassicaceae. The record is from RNAcentral.